CAUUCUCAACCACACUACUCUUUGUAGUGUGGCUUGGAUUAUGGGGUUUUUUGCAGGUUUCUUGAAGCCAGCUUCCCUGAAAUGCAUUAGUGGUAUCUGAGCAGACUACAGAUGUGAUAAAUAUCUACAUCUUUGCUGUAAACAGAUUACACUGCUUCAAACAAAAAUCAUUGUUUUU
RNAcentral lists this unclassified non-coding RNA (178 nucleotides) under uncultured Inocybe. RNAcentral describes it as "sequence contains ITS2". Lineage: Eukaryota; Fungi; Basidiomycota; Agaricomycetes; Agaricales; Cortinariaceae. The record is from RNAcentral.